This 1146-nucleotide long non-coding RNA is filed under the name Homo sapiens (human). RNAcentral describes it as "MIR124-2 host gene". Lineage: Eukaryota; Metazoa; Chordata; Mammalia; Primates; Hominidae. The record is from RNAcentral.
AUCCCUAAUUCUGGAUCAGCAAGCGAGGGGGAAAGACCGGACCGCUCCGACCCACCCCCUCCCUACCCCCACCUCCCACCUUAAAGCACCUUAUACCACGGAAGGCUCUCAGCCUCUUCUUUCCUCUGCGAACGCGCUGAGCAGCGAUUGAAAACGUUUUGGUCCUCUGCAGCUCCCGAAAUCGUUUCUCUGGACGCGGCAGUAUCCGCAGCGCAUGCACCCUCCUCUGGACUUCCGCAGCCCAGACCUGCGCUUACAGUCAUCGCGCCACCCCCUCCCCCCGGGCUGCGGGCCCCGCGCUCCGUGGGCUCAGGGUCCCCUCCGCGUCCCCCUGAAGCCUGGGGACGGAGGUCGCGACCGGCCGACUGGGGGGCGCAUUCUGGGGUCUCUGCGCAAGACCAGCUCUCAGCUCUCUCUCCUUUCCUCGGACUCUGGAGCGGGAGCGGGCCUUUCCCUCGGGUCGACCACGCCGUAGGGGACGCCGUGAAAAGAGCCGUCGCGCCCGCUGCCUCCUGCCCGCUGCGCAGAGGGCUCCGCCCGUAGAGGUCAACUUCCCUCACCCUUUUCUCUCUCCUGCUUGCCCUCCCUCCGCCCGGCCCAGGCGCUUCCAGCCCCAGACUGUGGCCACUGGCUGAGGAGUGCGAGUCGGCUGCGCUGCCCUGAGCCUAAUCCCUCUUCCGGGCCCAGACCCGAGGUCCGCGCUCCUGGGCAGUGGGGAAGCUUUAGUGAGCAGGCUUUUCUCUCCGCAGCAAACUUGUAGCCAGACCAGAUGGGCCGCCCAGCUCUCUCGGGACUAGGCAGGUGCGGAUGAGUUAAUUUUUCCGCAUUACAAAGAAAGAUGACCCAGCCCGCCCUUGGACUCUCUUUUCCCAAAAUCUCCCAACCAAACCCGCGGUAACGUUAUCAAAGGACACAGAGCCCAGGCAUAUCUGUGUGUUUAUCUUACAGGCACACACGCAUGGUUUUCUCUUUUAUAUGCUAGAUUUCAUCCCUGACAGCAGAAAAUGAUUGGCAAUGGUUAUGACGGAGAACAUGCAAUAGCGUGGUCCUUAAAAACCUGCCAUUCCUUACAAGUGCCUUAGAAAGGAUUCAGGGCGAACCAACUGGGUUAAUUGCAUUCAGUAAAAUAACACGAUUACAAAAUUA